UGACUGAGUGGCGGACGGGUGAGUAACGCGUGGGUAACCUGCCUUGUACUGGGGGAUAGCAGCUGGAAACGGCUGGUAAUACCGCAUAAGCGCACAAUGUUGCAUGACAUGGUGUGAAAAACUCCGGUGGUAUAAGAUGGACCCGCGUCUGAUUAGCUAGUUGGUGAGAUAACAGCCCACCAAGGCGACGAUCAGUAGCCGACCUGAGAGGGUGACCGGCCACAUUGGGACUGAGACACGGCCCAGACUCC
RNAcentral lists this ribosomal RNA (251 nucleotides) under uncultured Lachnospiraceae bacterium. RNAcentral's name for it is "partial 16S ribosomal RNA". It matches the Rfam family "Bacterial small subunit ribosomal RNA", at positions 88 to 339 of the family's 1533-position model. Lineage: Bacteria; Bacillati; Bacillota; Clostridia; Lachnospirales; Lachnospiraceae. The record is from RNAcentral.